This 563-nucleotide ribosomal RNA is filed under the name uncultured bacterium. Its description in RNAcentral is "partial 16S ribosomal RNA". It matches the Rfam family "Bacterial small subunit ribosomal RNA", at positions 355 to 912 of the family's 1533-position model. The record is from RNAcentral.
CUAAGAAUAUUCCGCAAUGGACGGAAGUCUGACGGAGCGACGCCGCGUGGAUGACGAAGGCCGAAAGGUUGUAAAGUUCUUUUGCUGGGGAAGAAUAACCGCAGGAGGGAAUGCCUGUGGGAUGACAAGAACCGGCGAAUAAGCCCCGGCCAACUACGUGCCAGCAGCCGCGGUAACACGUAGGGGGCGAGCGUUGUUCGGAAUUACUGGGCGUAAAGGGCAUGUAGGCGGCUUGGAAAGCCUGGCGUGAAAGUCUGCAGCUUAACUGCAGGGGUGCGCUGGGAACUGCUGAGCUUGAGUGACGGAGAGGGAGCUGGAAUUCCUGGUGUAGGGGUGAAAUCUGUAGAUAUCAGGAAGAACACCGAUGGCGAAGGCAAGCUCCUGGCCGAUGACUGACGCUGAGGUGCGAAAGUGUGGGGAUCAAAACAGGAUUAGAUACCCUGGUAGUCCACACAGUCAACGAUGUGCACUAGGUGCUGGGGCGGUAGCUUCGGUGCCGGAGCGAACGUGGUAAGUGCACCGCCUGGGGAGUAUGCUCGCAAGGGUGAAACUCAAAGGAAUUG